CACCUGUUUAUCAAAAACAUGUCUUUUUGAAUUUUUUUUAAAGUCUGACCUGCCCACUGAAUUUUUUUAAAUGGCCGCAGUAUACUAACUGUGCAAAGGUAGCAUAAUCAUUAGUCUUUUAAUUGAAGGCUGGUAUGAAUGGUUGGACGAGAUAUUAACUGUUUCAUAAAAAUUUAUAAUAGAAUUUUAUUUUUUAGUCAAAAAGCUAAAAUUUAUUUAAAAGACGAGAAGACCCUAUAAAUCUUUAUAUUUAUAUUAUUAUAAUUUUGUAGAUUUUUUUUGUUAUGAUAAUAGAUGAUAUUUUAUUGGGGUGAUAUUAAAAUUUAAUAAACUUUUAAUUGUUUAAAUCAUUAAUUUAUGAAUAAUUGAUCCGUUAUUAGCGAUUAAAAAAACAAGUUACUUUAGGGAUAACAGCGUAAUUUUUUUGGAGAGUUCAUAUCGAUAAAAAAGAUUGCGACCUCGAUGUUGGAUUAAGAUAUAAUUUUAGGUGUAGCCGCUUAAAUUUUAAGUCUGUUCGACUUUUAAAUUCUUACGUGAUCUGAGUUCAGACCGG
This 553-nucleotide ribosomal RNA is filed under the name Lucilia illustris. RNAcentral describes it as "partial 16S ribosomal RNA". It matches the Rfam family "Bacterial large subunit ribosomal RNA", at positions 1797 to 2619 of the family's 2925-position model. Lineage: Eukaryota; Metazoa; Arthropoda; Insecta; Diptera; Calliphoridae. RNAcentral also lists the same sequence under 1 other name. The record is from RNAcentral.